RNAcentral lists this ribosomal RNA (496 nucleotides) under uncultured bacterium. RNAcentral describes it as "partial 16S ribosomal RNA". It matches the Rfam family "Bacterial small subunit ribosomal RNA", at positions 29 to 507 of the family's 1533-position model. The record is from RNAcentral.
AUGAACGCUGGCGGCGUGCCUAAUACCUGCAAGUCGAGCGCACAGAUGAGGAGCUUGCUCCUCUGACGUUAGCGGCGGACGGGUGAGUAACACGUGGAUAACCUACCUAUAAGACUGGGAUAACUUCGGGAAACCGGAGCUAAUACCGGAUAAUAUAUUGAACCGCAUGGUUCAAUAGUGAAAGACGGUUUUGCUGUCACUUAUAGAUGGAUCCGCGCCGCAUUAGCUAGUUGGUAAGGUAACGGCUUACCAAGGCAACGAUGCGUAGCCGACCUGAGAGGGUGAUCGGCCACACUGGAACUGAGACACGGUCCAGACUCCUACGGGAGGCAGCAGUAGGGAAUCUUCCGCAAUGGGCGAAAGCUUGACGGAGCAACGCCGCGUGAGUGAUGAAGGUCUUCGGAUCGUAAAACUCUGUUAUUAGGGAAGAACAAAUGUGUAAGUAACUAUGCACGUCUUGACGGUACCUAAUCAGAAAGCCACGGCUAACUACGUG